GUGCUUGUUUCAGCAGCACUUAUACUAAAAUUAGAAUAACACAGAGAAAAUUAUCAUGACCCCUCUGCAAAGAUGACAUGUAAAUUUGUGAAACAUUCCAUAUUUUA
This is a small nuclear RNA of Lemur catta (Ring-tailed lemur), 107 nucleotides long. NCBI's taxonomy places the organism in Eukaryota, Metazoa, Chordata, Mammalia, Primates, Lemuridae. The record is from RefSeq and is a predicted model, not a curated record.